CAAAAACAUGUCUUUUUGUUAAAAAUUUAAAGUCUGACCUGCCCACUGAUAAAUAUUAAAGGGCCGCGGUAUUCUGACUGUGCAAAGGUAGCAUAAUCAUUUGUCUCUUAAUUGGAGGCUGGAAUGAAUGGUUGAAUGAAAUAUUAACUGUCUCAUUAUUAAAAUAAUAAAAAUUUAGCUUUUAAGUUAAAAGGCUUAAAUAAAUUUAAAGGACGAGAAGACCCUAUAGAUCUUUAUAAUUAUAUUAAUUUUAUUAAAUUGAAUUAAUAUUAAUUAAAAAUAAUGUAAUUAUUUUAUUGGGGUGAUAGGAAAAUUAAUUAAACUUUUUUUAGUAAUUAAACAUUGAUUUAUGAAUAAUUGAUCCAUUAUUAGUGAUUAUAAGAUUAAGUUACCUUAGGGAUAACAGCGUAAUUUUUUUAAAGAGUUCUUAUCGAUAAAAAAGAUUGCGACCUCGAUGUUGAAUUAAAGGUUAUUUCUAGAUGUAGCAGUUUAGAGUUUAGGUCUGUUCGACCUUUGAAUCUUUACAUGAUCUGAGUCAAACCGGA
RNAcentral lists this ribosomal RNA (545 nucleotides) under Ceraeochrysa caligata. RNAcentral describes it as "partial 16S ribosomal RNA". It matches the Rfam family "Bacterial large subunit ribosomal RNA", at positions 1808 to 2619 of the family's 2925-position model. The record is from RNAcentral. Lineage: Eukaryota; Metazoa; Arthropoda; Insecta; Neuroptera; Chrysopidae.